UUAAGUUCAGCGGGUAUCCCUACCUGAUCCGAGGUCAACCUGAAAAGGAUGAUGGGUUGUCGGCUGGCGCCGGCCGGGCCUACGAAGCGGGUGACAAAGCCCCAUACGCUCGAGGACCGGACUCGGUGCCGCCGCUGCCUUUCGGGCCUGUCCUCCGGGGGGAGGACAAGGCCCAAACACAAGCCGUGCUUGAGGGCAGC
Molecule: unclassified non-coding RNA, 200 nt
Filed under: Penicillium sp.
Lineage: Eukaryota; Fungi; Ascomycota; Eurotiomycetes; Eurotiales; Aspergillaceae
Description: partial internal transcribed spacer 2
Source: RNAcentral